UCGGGUGAGACUACCCGCUGAACUUAAGC
This 29-nucleotide ribosomal RNA is filed under the name Russula mariae. RNAcentral describes it as "partial 28S ribosomal RNA". The record is from RNAcentral. Lineage: Eukaryota; Fungi; Basidiomycota; Agaricomycetes; Russulales; Russulaceae.